Molecule: ribosomal RNA, 771 nt
Filed under: uncultured bacterium
Lineage: Bacteria
Description: bacterial SSU rRNA
Rfam family: Bacterial small subunit ribosomal RNA
Source: RNAcentral
CACCGAUUGCGAAGGCAUCUCACGAAUCCGACACUGACGCUGAGGCACGAAAGCGUGGGGAUCAAACAGGAUUAGAUACCCUGGUAGUCACGCAGUAAACGAUGAUGACUAACCGUCGGCGAUAGACAGUCGGUGGCCAAGCGAAAGCGAUAAGUCAUCCACCUGGGGAGUACGUUCGCAAGAAUGAAACUCAAAGGAAUUGACGGGGGCCCGCACAAGCGGAGGAACAUGUGGUUUAAUUCGAUGAUACGCGAGGAACCUUACCCGGGCUCGAACGGUGCAGGAAGGAACAAGAGAUUGUGACGCCCUUCGGGGCCUGCAUCGAGGUGCUGCAUGGUUGUCGUCAGCUCGUGCCGUGAGGUGUCGGCUCAAGUGCCAUAACGAGCGCAACCCUUGUCAGUAGUUACCAGCAUGUAAAGAUGGGGACUCUACUGAGACUGCCACCGCAAGGUGAGAGGAAGGGGGGGAUGACGUCAAAUCAGCACGGCCCUUACGUCCGGGGCGACACACGUGUUACAAUGGCGGCCACAGAGGGAAGCCACCCUGCGAAGGGGAGCGAAUCUCGAAAAGCCGUCUCAGUUCGGAUCGGAGUCUGCAACCCGACUCCGUGAAGCUGGAUUCGCUAGUAAUCGCGCAUCAGCCAUGGCGCGGUGAAUACGUUCCCGGGCCUUGUACACACCGCCCGUCAAGCCAUGAAAGCCGGGGGUGCCUGAAGUUCGUGACCGCAAGGAGCGACCUAGGGCAAAACUGGUAAUUGGGGCUAAGUCGUAA